RNAcentral lists this ribosomal RNA (422 nucleotides) under uncultured bacterium. RNAcentral describes it as "bacterial SSU rRNA". It matches the Rfam family "Bacterial small subunit ribosomal RNA", at positions 917 to 1345 of the family's 1533-position model. The record is from RNAcentral.
GGGCCCGCACAAGCGGUGGAGUAUGUGGUUUAAUUCGAUGCAACGCGAAGAACCUUACCAGGGUUUGACAUCCUGCGAAUCUCUUGGAAACAGGAGAGUGCCUUCGGGAACGCAGUGACAGGUGGUGCAUGGCUGUCGUCAGCUCGUGUCGUGAGAUGUUGGGUUAAGUCCCGCAACGAGCGCAACCCUUGUCAUUAGUUGCUACGCAAGGGCACUCUAAUGAGACUGCCGGUGACAAACCGGAGGAAGGUGGGGACGACGUCAAGUCCUCAUGGCCCUUAUGGGUAGGGCUUCACACGUCAUACAAUGCUACGGACAAAGGGCAGCAAGUUCGCGAGGACAAGCAAAUCCCAUAAACCGUGGCUCAGUUCAGAUCGUAGGCUGCAACUCGCCUACGUGAAGGCGGAAUCGCUAGUAAUCGC